This is a long non-coding RNA of Sarcophilus harrisii (Tasmanian devil), 1277 nucleotides long. RefSeq lists it as uncharacterized. The record is from RefSeq and is a predicted model, not a curated record. The transcript is spliced from 3 exons. NCBI's taxonomy places the organism in Eukaryota, Metazoa, Chordata, Mammalia, Dasyuromorphia, Dasyuridae.
UCUAAGUUAAGUGACAGCUAUUGGCUGAAGUCAUAUUGAACCCUGAUCCUCCUGAAUUCUAUCCACGACACCAUCUAGUUGCUCUAUACUUUUCUAAGAUAUUUAGGGUUUUGUGUUAUGUUUGUAUAUGGGUCCUGUUCCCUAGAGGGGCAGCUGUCUGGUGUCAUGGUGCACAGAGCACUUGGUCAGGAGUCAGGAAGACUUAUGUUCCUGAAUUCAGUGGUCUCAAACACUGAUUGUGUGACCCUGGGCAAAUCACUUAACUCUGUCUCAAUUUCCUUUGGAGAAGGAAACGGCAAACCGUUCCAAUAUCUUUGAAAACUCCAGAUGGAAUUUAUGCCCAAAGAGUAAGACACUCCUGACAAUGACUGAAUAUCAACCUAUUCCCUUUAAGACUUCAAGCCCCAAAUGGGCAAGGAAUGUUAAGUAAACACAUUUUGCCACUUUGCUAGAAGCUAGGGGAGGUAUAGCUGAUUGGCUUAGUGGACAGAAUUCUGGAGUCAAGAGCUGAGUUCAAAUCCUUUCUCAGACAUGCAAUAUAACUAUGUAUGAAACAUUUGAACUUUCUGAGCCUCAUCUGUGAAAUGGGAUAACAGCACCCACUUUACAAGGUUGUCAUGGGAAUAAAAUAGAUAACACAUGCAAAGUGUCCUGUAAACCUUAGAGCCCUGUAUAGAUGGUAACAUUGCUAUUUGUCCUUUGUUCUGGAAAAGGAUCAUGGCUUCAGGAAGAUGAUGCUGUGAUACGCAAGUGAAUUGCACUUACGUGAGGGUGACUCACUUUCUCCUUAGGAACCAUCUGGGUCCAGUGGAAGGAAAUAGAUCAGGAUGACUGGAAAAGGCCCUGGAUGCAGACAGCAAACAAAUCCUGCUGUGUGAAUGCAGAGAAGUCCCACGGCCCAGCUGCGACUCUGCUGAGAGGAGAGACAGAUCAGGAGAGUGUGUAAGAGUGAUCAAUGGCAGACAGAUAUGGGAUUGAGGGGACCACUGCUACCCCCUACUUGUGUUGAGGAGAAGCACUGAACACAAACUUGCAAGAAGUCCACUAUGGUGCCCAAGGAGUGGCAAUACCUUUAACUGGCAGGGAUUGUGAAUGAACCUCUGAAAUUAGGGAAGGAAAUGGAGCUCACCAGAUAGUGCCCUCCGCAGCAGGACAGUGUUCAGGUUCCAAUGGACACAUGUAAUCAUCACUAACAUUUAUAGAGCCUCUUAAGAUUUGCAAAGGGUUUCUUCUUAUUUGAUCUUCCACAAGUCUGUGAGGUAGGUGCUAUUAUUAUU